This 497-nucleotide ribosomal RNA is filed under the name uncultured bacterium. RNAcentral's name for it is "partial 16S ribosomal RNA". It matches the Rfam family "Bacterial small subunit ribosomal RNA", at positions 28 to 507 of the family's 1533-position model. The record is from RNAcentral.
GAUGAACGCUGGCGGCGUGCCUAAUACAUGCAAGUCGAGCGAACAGACGAGGAGCUUACUCCUCUGACGUUAGCGGCGGACGGGUGAGUAACACGUGGAUAACCUACCUAUAAGACUGGGAUAACUUCGGGAAACCGGAGCUAAUACCGGAUAACAUGUUGAACCGCAUGGUUCAACAGUGAAAGACGGUCUUGCUGUCACUUAUAGAUGGAUCCGCGUCGCAUUAGCUAGUUGGUAAGGUAACGGCUUACCAAGGCAACGAUGCGUAGCCGACCUGAGAAGGUGAUCGGCCACACUGGAACUGAGACACGGUCCAGACUCCUACGGGAGGCAGCAGUAGGGAAUCUUCCGCAAUGGGCGAAAGCCUGGCGGAGCAACGCCGCGUGAGUGAAGAAGGUCUUCGGAUCGUAAAACUCUGUUAUUAGGGAAGAACAAAUGUGUAAGUAACUAUGCACGUCUUGACGGUACCUAAUCAGAAAGCCACGGCUAACUACGUG